UCGAACGGGGAUUACACGGAGAUGCGAUUUCGGUCAAUCAAGUGCAAUCUUAGUGGCGGACGGGUGAGUAACGCGUGGGUAACCUGCCUUGCACUGGGGGAUAACACUUAGAAAUAGGUGCUAAUACCGCAUAAGCGCACGGUCCCGCAUGGGACAGUGUGAAAAACUCCGGUGGUGCAAGAUGGACCCGCGUCUGAUUAGCUGGUUGGCGGGGUAAAGGCCCACCAAGGCGACGAUCAGUAGCCGGCCUGAGAGGGUGGACGGCCACAUUGGGACUGAGACACGGCCCAAACUCCUACGGGAGGCAGCAGUGGGGGAUAUUGGACAAUGGGGGGAACCCUGAUCCAGCGACGCCGCGUGAGUGAAGAAGUAUUUCGGUAUGUAAAGCUCUGUCAGCAGGGAAGAAAGCAAUGACGGUACCUGACCAAGAAGCCCCGGCUAACUACGUGCCAGCAGCCGCGGUAAUACGUAGGGGGCAAGCGUUAUCCGGAAUUACUGGGUGUAAAGGGAGCGUAGACGGCUGUGCAAGUCUGGAGUGAAAGGCGGGGGCCCAACCCCCGGACUGCUCUGGAAACUGUAUGGCUGGAGUGCAGGAGAGGUAAGCGGAAUUCCUAGUGUAGCGGUGAAAUGCGUAGAUAUUAGGAGGAACACCAGUGGCGAAGGCGGCUUACUGGACUGUAACU
RNAcentral lists this ribosomal RNA (683 nucleotides) under uncultured bacterium. RNAcentral describes it as "bacterial SSU rRNA". It matches the Rfam family "Bacterial small subunit ribosomal RNA", at positions 62 to 741 of the family's 1533-position model. The record is from RNAcentral.